Molecule: ribosomal RNA, 274 nt
Filed under: uncultured bacterium
Lineage: Bacteria
Description: partial 16S ribosomal RNA
Rfam family: Bacterial small subunit ribosomal RNA
Source: RNAcentral
UCGCACGAGAAAGUUCUUCGGAAUGAGUAAAGUGGCGCACGGGUGAGUAAUACGUAGGAACAUGCCUUAAUCUGGGGAAUAACUGCGGGAAACUGCAGCUAAUACCGCAUAUACUCGAGAGAGAAAAGGUGGCCUCUGCUUGCAAGCUACCGGAUUAAGAUUGGCCUACGUCCCAUUAGCUAGUUGGCGGGGUAAUAGCCCACCAAGGCGACGAUGGGUAGCUGGUCUGAGAGGACGAUCAGCCACACUGGAACUGAGACACGGUCCAGACUCC